GGAGGGGUUACGUUAGAAAGCGCGGUGGAUACAGCGGGAAGGAGACAGACAGAGAACGAGUCCGGAGCAAGAGAGGAGCCGCGGCUGUUUUACCGUUGGAAACAGUAUGGAAGAAAGCGAAUUUUAAGUGCAACGUGUGUGAAAUUCAGGUUGGAUAAGAUGCCAUUGACAGUCUGCACGUAAACAAGAACUACAAGCUUGGCAAACGUGCUAACUUUGUAACCUGGGACCUGAACCUCGACGUGAACGUGGUUAACGGUGUCAAAUAAAUGAAGCAACGUUACAAUUUGCUGACAAAGUGAGAGGAAGUUCUCCUAUGGCAGCAGAUUACUUCAUGCUUUCUGUGGACCAGACCAUUGUGAAAGGCCACAUCAAUGCCUUCACUGAUGCUCUUGUUUUGAUGUUUGCCACGUGCUACUGCCUGAACAUCUCUUACACAGCAGCCCAAGGAGCAACAUUGGAGUUCUUGCAGAGAUGCCUUUUCAAGAUCAACCCAGACAAGGGAUGGAAAGUGGAGAAGAAUGCUACCAGAAAGCAGCUGGCGGUCAGUCCAAAGGUUCUUUCCCUGAUAACAAAACUUGAACUAUGAAUGGAGGGAGUAAAAAGAAACUUUUCAGAAGGGAGACCAUUGCAAUCCAAUGUCCCUAGUUGCACAGUUCAUGUUGGUCUCAUUCUCAUAUUCUUGAGUGUUCUUUAAUUGUUGUCAAAUAGUACCACUUUGACCCAGAUGAAUACUAGGUACACGUUGUAACCAUCUUUCGAAUAUAGAAUUGGUUCACAGUAAUGUUACUACUUUUAAAUUAUAGGCUUCUUCAGUACCUUCAGUUUUUAAAGUACCAGACUGACUUUUACAUUUUAUUGCUUGCUUUGUGUUUUUAUUUCACUGUGAACAUUAGCUGAACCUACUGUAAACUGUUCUUGAACUGAAGCAGGCAAUUUUUGGACUGCUAGCAGUAUGUAGCCAUGCAACGUUAAGCUUUGUAAGCAAGUAUGUUGCUAGAGCAUUAACUGUUUUCUAUUCUUAUCUGUUGGUCGACAGAAUAAAAUACACAAUGAACAGUA
Etheostoma spectabile (orangethroat darter) is the source of this 1062-nucleotide long non-coding RNA. RefSeq lists it as uncharacterized. The record is from RefSeq and is a predicted model, not a curated record. The transcript has 5 exons. Lineage: Eukaryota; Metazoa; Chordata; Actinopteri; Perciformes; Percidae.